Carassius gibelio (silver crucian carp) is the source of this 539-nucleotide long non-coding RNA. RefSeq lists it as uncharacterized. Lineage: Eukaryota; Metazoa; Chordata; Actinopteri; Cypriniformes; Cyprinidae. The record is from RefSeq and is a predicted model, not a curated record. The transcript has 4 exons.
CACCUAUCUACCCUCACGCAGUCAAACUUACACGUGGACCCGUGACCCAUAUAAGGAUACACGUGCAGACUUCAUUGCUCCAGGGUGCCAAGACUGAUAGCAUGAAUUUUGCAGUGCGUGAUGAGGAUGGGUUGCCUGAGAGACUCUGACUUCAGGAGGAGAAUACUAAAAAGUUACCUAGGGCAUUCUAACUGAAAGAGUAUUCGACAAAGUCACUCUGAAGGCAUCAAGGGCUUUUUGACCAAGAAGGAGCGUGAUGGGGUGCUGCGCCAGAUGACCUGGCCUCCACAGUCAACGGACCUGAACGCAAUCGAGAUGGUUUAAGGGUGAGCUGGACCGCAGACAGAAAGCAAAAGGGCCAACAAGUGCUAAACAUCUUGGGGAACUCCUUCAAGACUGUUGGAAGACCAUUUCAGAAGUGGAGAUGGUCUGCUGAGAAGCUCUAGACAGAGGAGCCCCAUUCUGAUUAAUAUAUGCUCAGGACUUCCUCUUCCACUGGAGAAAAACACCAGAGCAAGUCAAGAUGAUCCCAAGAUCAG